This is a long non-coding RNA of Dromaius novaehollandiae (emu), 9174 nucleotides long. RefSeq lists it as uncharacterized. The transcript is spliced from 2 exons. The record is from RefSeq and is a predicted model, not a curated record. Lineage: Eukaryota; Metazoa; Chordata; Aves; Casuariiformes; Dromaiidae.
AUACUUUUUUAAAAAAAUACAAAAACAGUGUCUUCCCUUAUAUGUGUGAAUGAAAUAUUUGGGGGGGUUGUUUUACCAAAUGCAGAAUGGCCUUAAUUCUCAAAAGUGCAAAGUGAUCCUGAAUGCUUCCAUACUGUGAUGUCAAGGGACUAAGUUUUUGAACAGGUUAGAAUUUCAGUCUGAGGCAUCUUGGAAACAGAGGGACAGAAGCAUAAUCAGUUUGUAAGCUGUCAUAUGUCUCCAUAAGAGGAGCAUGGGCAAUAGAAAUUGGGAAUUUUAGAUAGAUAUUUCAAAUUGGCUUCAAUCCUGGAUAUUUCAUGACUAGAAUUGGUUGAGGAUUUUGAAAUCUUUCCACAGGAAGUGCAUAUUCAAAACAAAAAACAAAACAGAACAGAAAACAAAAGUUGCAUGCUUUGUUUUCAACCAGGAGAAGCUGGUUUUCAAUUACUUACUUGAAAAAUAUUUUUUUUUAAUUUUGAAUCAGUGGAAAUAAUCAUUUAGCAUUUUUCAGACUGAAAAAAAGCAAACUUUUGUUCAAAAUGACCUGAAGAAAUGUGAGUUCCUUACAUUAAAAUUAAUAGCUCAGCUCUGAAGCAAAACAUUUUGGAAUGCUUAAUGUUUUCAAUUUUCAUUUCAACAGCCCCCAAUUUUUUUUUUUUUUCAGGCUGGUGUGAUUCCAAGACUUGCAGACUUUGUUUUUCAUCUGAAAUUGGGAUUUUUUUUCCCUAAGUCUAAAAAAGAAUGUCCUGAGAUUUCAUGAAAUAAGAAGACCAUUUGUAAACGGAGCUUUACUCAUGUUUACAUUCUUUUCCUUAACCAUCCAGUGGCUUCACUAUUCCUGUUGAAAACCUCAAACACACUAUUCAGCUGAGCUGCUACAAUAUAUUCAACUUAACUUCAGGACUUGCCUGCAAACCUUGUUUUAAAACAAGGCAGUACGGAAGGAAUUUCCCAAGUUUAGUAAGGUUCCAGUUCUUGUUUUAUCUUAAAUAAUAAAUAUCUUACAUAAUAACUUAGGUUUGGUCAUGGGAUCUGGCUGCAAAAUGUACCUCUCAUGACCCAAAAGAAGAAGUUAAUGAUUGGAGAUGUCCUUCCAACAAACUCCUCACACUGAGCCAGUUUACUGACAAGAAAUAAGGAUAGUUGCUUGCUUCUGUGCUUGCUUCCUUCUAAUUCAAUAUCCAGAAAAGUCAGCCCAGUAGGACUGAUUUUUUUUCUUUCUUUUCUUUGCAAUAUUGCUAGCCUACCAGGUUAAACGUAGUGAAGUCAGCAGGCCUAGCUGUCCUUGCCUGUGUUGCCAAUAAAGCUGCUCUUAAGCAGCUACCACCUGCAAACUGGGUCCUGUGCCAUCAGUAAACACUGAGUUCCAGUUACGCAGGGCCAGGUGGGUAUCAAAAUCAUGGCAAAUACUCUCUGGAGACAUGUUCCCCAUCACUAAGGAUGAGGGGAGACAGAGGGAAUCCUUCCAGGGGAUAAUCCAGGGAGGCAGUCUCUGGGGAGAUCUCUAGGUAGCUGCUUUGAACAUGCAUUUCUAUUUCCAAGGAAGCUGGAGCAUUAGAUGAGCCUCUACAUAGUUUCUCCAGCCCUUUGUCUGGGAAAACAGAGGAUACAAGAAACACUUGGAUACUGACAUUCAGGCAGGAUUUUGAGUCACUCAGUGGUGAGGAGUUCAACAUUUUUCUCUUGCUCCCAGCUCUGAAGACCCAAGCCAUUGCUUCAGAGUUUAGCGUCCAAAUCCUUAAAAAUCUCUCCUCAGUCAGCAGAUUUUGCUUUGUGUAUUUAAAUGUAUGAAGUAUGUUUGGAGGCAUAAUGACUCCUGUUUCUGUGUUGUUUUGAGCUGUUGCAUUAGUCUGAAUAUAAAGAUUUAUAAGGUUUAUUUUGCAGUCAUCAUUCCAGCCAUCUGCAUUUAGUGUAGGUUAAUAAAACUGUAUUACCUUGCCCUAGCAAAAAAAAGUUCAUGGCUAAAAUAUGCUGUAUAUUUGCCCUGCCUUUUCCUUUUCAUUUCUUCAUAAAUUUCUAUUGCAUUCUGAGUCAGCACAUUUGCCUAAUCUAAUCAGUUGGAGUCUAAUUAAUAAUCCAUAAUUGAAAUGGCCAAGGUGUAAAACAGAAGCAAUACAGUAGCAAAGCAAAUUCCAGUUCUCUUAUUCAUUUCAAUUACUUCUUAUACCAGCUUCUGUUGUCAGCAUGCAUAAUGGAAAUUUAGGGUAAUUACACUGAAAUAGGUCUUCCUUCUUAAAUGCUGCCUAUAUUUGGAAUAUAGGGUCUAUCCCUGAAAGUGUAUGGUGUCCUGAAUUGCAAUGACUUAAGAAAAAAGAGGAUAAUCAGCGCCUUACAGGACUAGGUUCAAACUUAGUUUUUUUAGGUUAGCCUAAGACAAAGAGAGCACGAGUUUAAGGAAUGCCAUAUCGAAUCCUCCAUGCAACUUUAAUUUCCUCGUUUGUCUGUAUUACAACACUGGCUUCAAUAUUUCAAUAUGUAGAAUCCAACUGACACAUGUUGAACCAGACGAACACAUGCAAGGAGAGCUAAAAGUGAAGAAAUUUCAUAUCUGUUACACAGAUCUCUGGCAGGUGCUCCGAGGAACUUCUCAUAAUUGCAGGCUGUCUUUGGCCUGUUCUCUGGCCCUGCUAUCAGUAUUGGUGGAGCAUACAUUUUGCCAGCAAGCUUCACAUAUGCUCAGUAGCAGGAGAGCAUUGUUAAAUUUGGAAUUUGGGGUCUCUUUCUGAUCUGAGGAAAAUACAAGUUGGUGGCUGGACACUAGACUCCUGGCCCCCUUCUGCUCAGCUCCCCGCAGCUCCUUCUGCCUCUGUGUCAGACUUCCUUACCUUCUCCCAUCUGGUGAGUGACCUCCUUCUGCUACUUUAAAUGAUUACCAAAAAUUUUUUUUGCACCUGUCUGUUCCCUGCCACUUCUCUACCACUUCAGGAUCACCAUUCUCUUCUCUGUAUGGUUAAAGACAAUACCAUGUACAUCUUCAUGCACUGAAGAUUUCUCAACUGAGGCCAGUCACAAUAUUCCUUCCAUUCGCGCCCAUCUCAAGCAGCAAGCACUAAAAGGAAGAGUGAAAUUAUGGAAAAUAUGCAGAUGAAAUCACACGUAUCAGUUAUACGAGCCAGAAUUUCAAUGUAUAUCCACAGGUUUCUGGAUGUUUUUAACUAGCACUGUCAAACAACAAUUUUGUCAUUUUUUUUAAAUGCCCUAAGGCCAAAUGACAUUUUAAUCUUGUCACAUUUGACUAAUGAAUGGAGAGGUAAAACUGACACUGUCACUCAGCUGGUUUUGUUGCUCUAAUUUUCUAUCAGAUGCACCAGUCACCUGAAAUUAGGAAAAGUUAUGUUGGUACAGAUGGUUCCUGUGUGCCUGUGUAAAAUCUGCAUACAGCCUCAGCAAUGGUGAUGGUGGAGUGAAACCUUCCAGGAACAUUUCAGUGCAGAAGACCGAACACAGCUGCUGCUACACGGCGUGCAAGACUGAUCUCCAAUACAGAAUUACAGCCAGGAAACCCCAUUAGGGAUGUGAUGUGCCAUCCCUGCCAUAUCUCUGUACCUCCGCAAGGAUCUGAACCCCACAGCCCCUCCUGUCGGGAUCAUUCCUUCCAACCUUUGCUUUUCCAUAUGGCAGAACUGCAAUGAUUUUGAUCUCUGCUUAUUUUAAUGCUGCAGCAUAAGUGUCUGUUUUAAGUUUGCCAUCGAUGAGAAUUUAAUAGAAACAGCUGUAAAAUCCUAAAUACUCCUCGAGUGCUCAGACUGAUUGGGAAAUUAGGGCACUUUGGUGUCCAGCUGUCAGCAGUUUAGGAACAUAACCUCAGGUGCCUUUCUUAGAGAAGCACUUGGUUUCAAGGUGGACGUGGGGCUGUCCACAGUGUAUCAGGCCUUGGCUGAGCCACCGUUAGUGUCCAUCUGCGCGCUCUGAGCCAGUCCCAGCUGUCAGAUGUCGUGCCUUAGCCAAAGCUGCGUCAUGGAGGUGGACACUGUGUUGCUUUGCAUUUCCAACAGCAGCAGCAGCUUGAUCCAGAGGUCUUCUGGCAGUGCCUGGACCUCCAUAUGCAGGCAGGGAGAGCUGCCUGCUUUGUGCCAUAGUCCAGCACUAAUCGUGAGCUAUGAUUUAACAGCUCUGAUUGCAUGUCUGAUUUCCUAGUUGUUGCUAUCUGCAGUGGCUACACCUGCAUUUAGGCACCCGGUGAAGAAGGUCAACAGUCUACGCCUAGUCACUGCUUUUAUGGCAGGUCAGAUUGUGAAGUUGCCCUCUUUCAAUUUCUUUCAUAACUAAACAUUGCCUGAGGCUGUUUUGUGCCAGAGCCACAACUGUUACAAAUAAUUAUAACAGCCCGGUGGCAGCCAGCUGGGCUGGCAUGGGCAGAGGUGGCCCCUUCUGUGCCACCUCCUGCUCUGCAGCACCAGGUGAUGCCUUUACUGUGCCAACACAUGCAAAACAAAAAUAUGGGGGGAGGAUGGAGAAAGAGCCACACAAAGCAGGAUUUUACCCUUCACUGGGUGAAAAAAAGACCAGGCUGUGUGCAUGCAGAAGGGCUGUGCCUGGCAAGUUCUUGCGCAGGCGAGGUAGCCUGCAGUUCCUACCAUGAGCAGGCAAGCCUGGGAGGCCAGGUUGCAACUGGUCUCUAUCUCGCACUUAUCUUUCCAUAGAAAAUAUGCUUGCUCAUUGGUGCAGGAUUAAAUAAGAGAAACUGCUGGGUCACCCCAUUGCUAGAUCCACGUUUUUUUCACGUGCCCAAGGAGCUGGGUAAACUGACUUGAGCUUUGAUCUAAUAGUCAGCAGAACUGCUAGGUACUUUGAGACAGACCAAACCAAUUGCAUAGUGCAAGCAAAAGUUACUUGGCUCCUUCUUAUAAUACUUUUCUGUCAUUUGGAAUAGGAUCAGAAAUCAGAAAGGAGGCCAGAUCCAGACUGUAUAAAUGAAACAUAUAUUUAGUACUGACUUUCUUCUUUCAUGUCCUACAGUAGCUCUGCAAGCUUUUAGAUUGUUUUUCUGUUCUUAUGAGUUUUUAUUCUACAUUCUUAUGUUACUUGAACAUAGACUUUUUACACAGGAAAGCUUUUUUUACUUUUUUCUUUAAGUAGAGAAUUCCUACUGUGCUAUAUUACCCUAGCUGCCAAGUCAGAAGGUGGUCCAGAACAAAGGAAGAAUGGAUCAGUCAUUCUCUGACACACAGUGUUUUCAGUCUUAAUAUUGAAAGCAGGGGGGGGAAAAACAAAAAAAACCCUUUUGUCGGACUAAAGGAAGCUUUGAGAACAGAAGCUUUACAGCUGCCCAAAUCGUUUUCUGUCAGUGAGCAGAACUUGUAACUCUUUCCUCCCAUCAUGUGAAAUAUAAUUUUGUUCUAUUGGUUUUAUGGUACAAACAGCUUCUUAAAAUCCCAUAGGCUAAUGACAUGUCUAGCACAUCAUACAGUUUAAUCCAGUUGCACCUGGUCAGAUCUCAAUAGCCUAUUGCACUCAGGCAUAUUUUACAUCUUAGCCUUGUUUGAAGUCUUCAGAAUAACAGAGUAGUCAUUUCUUCCUCAAUAUAUCUUCGUGACUACUGUUACACCUGUGCCUUAUCACUAAUUUGACUUUGAGGGAAACCUUAAUGCAAAAAAAAAGAAAAGGAAUUUUUCCAAAUAAGAAUGACCAAGAAUCAGUCUAAACUAUUUUUGUGGGAGGUUCUGAAUUAUAAAUGGUUGCAGAAGCUUCAGCUUACCUGAAUUUUCCAUUGACACUGUCACCCUAAGAGCAAUCUGAAAAGAACCAGGUAUUGGUUCUUUUCAAUACAAUGCAAAAGAUCAAAUGGGUUCAAAUCUCUGGUUUUGAUUUCCAUUACAACACUCCCACAAAGCAGGAACAAAGGAGAGGAAGGUCUGCUGAUGCAGGCAGCGGAGCUCUGAGGGCUGAUUUCUGAGGUCUCGAGCUGAACCACUGCAGUACGCAGAUAUCCUAGGGGUGAUCGGGAUCCCACUGUGCUAAUACUUUGCACGGACUGAGGCUUGCGGUAGUCUGCCUGUGCUUCCAAGUGCUUACAAGCUAUGUUAGGACAGCCCCAAAGCUCAUGAAGCUGUUGAAGGCAAGCUGAUCUUAGCCAGUCUACUUCCUCUCUGAGUUGACAUGAGUGUGGCUCUCUAAGAGACAUUUGAAACGGGUAGGGACAUUGGGCUGAAUCCAACCAAUUAACCAGUAGGUGGCCAGCUCUUGUCUAGCUAUUAGGUUCUGCUUAUGUAUAUAUUUAUUAAUCAUAGUUGUUGGAUACAUACAUACCAAUCGCAGUAACUAUUUUAUGCAUUCAGGUUGCUGCAACUUCUUCCCUCAAAAGUGAAGAGAAGAAAGAUCAUGUAUAUUCCUGCUUCUGCCUGCUUACUGGGUAUGGAGUGCCUUCCCAGUACGUUGGAGGCCUAUGCACAGCUCAUCCUUAGCAGUUGCACAGAGCUGCUGUGUAAGUCACCAAGACAACCCAAGCAAGCCCUCAGAGGUAUUGGAAGAAGAUAAGCCUGGAUAUGGAUUUUGCUCAGAUAUGAAUAUGAAUAAAUUGCAUAUCCUUUUGGUAAUGAACCACAUACUGGGCUCUGUAAGUGACAGUGUAGCCAUAAGGCCAAGGAAAGCAUAUGCCCCUCUAUUCAGGACUUCUGAGGCUACAUCCGGAGUGCUGUGUCCAGUUUCGGAUCACCCAGUGGAAGAGAGAUACUGGCAAACUGGAGUCAGUCCAGCAGAGAGCUACUGAGCAGGGGCUACAGGGGCUAGAGCACAUGAUGUACAAGGAGAGGCUCAGAAAGCUGGGUCUGUUUAGCCUGGAGAAGAAAAGGUGAAGGAGAGACCUUAUUGCUGUCUGCAACCACCUAAUGAGUACUUACAGAGAAGAUGGAGCCAAACUCUUCUCAGCACAGCAGAAGGACAUGCAGCAAUGACCACAAGCUGCAACUAUGGAGAUACCAAUCAGAUAUUAGGAAAACUUUUUCAACAGGUUUGAAUCUGACAUUUUGAAAGUCACCCGGCACCACUGAGAAACCUCGACCCUACAGUAGCACAGGAUUUCUUGCGUUGGUGAACUUCCCAGGCUGUUAUUACUUUCAACAGAAAAUUUUUCCAAGAGUCCACGACGAUUUAGCUGACCGUCAAUAUGAAGAUUCAUUACAAGGACUACCUAGUGAUGGCAGCUCUACUAUAACGCAUCGACAGACUUGGGCUUCACAUUUCAAUCUCAGUUUUACAUGUGGAGCAGCGCAAGGAGCAGCAAACUGACUGGCCCAAGAGGCACCUAGCACACCAGGGCCUUUUCCCUCAGCGUGAUCCUUGUCCCCUCGCUGGGACAGGAGGGAACAGGUUGGGGCAAAUGGACCUGUGCGCUGCAGUAGAGGCGCUUCUGCAUCAGAUCUGGUCUGUGCUGGCAUGGUUUGCGGCAGUGACCGCACAAGCUCAGCUCUAGCUGCAUAUAUCCAUACAGAUACAGCCCUGGCUGAUGCUCUCAGAUCUUGACAGAUGUAUCAGCAGGGAUCCAGUAGUGGUAUGCAAAUUGGGGAAAAUUGGCAUUUGUCUCUUCUUCUACACUAGUUUCACCUCAGCUGAUACUUCCCCUGCCUCCAGCACUUCUUCUGCCGCUCCCUUGUGGUUACAUGCCAGUGAACUGUAAAAUAGUACAUAAAAGAAAAGGUAUGUAAAAAGCAGGAAAAAAUCGAUCCUUGCUGAGUGACUCUUCUUACUGUUGUGUAGGUACAUCACAGCUAGCAGUUUGUUAGGGCACAUUAAAUGAGGCCUUUAUUUGCUCCCACAUUUCUCCUCCUGCUGACUCUACCUCUCUCUUCUGCUCUACCCCACUGAAAGAUAAAAGGCCCCAUACUUGCAUGUGAGGGAGGUAAAGAGAGGUGCAAGACCCACAGACAAAUAACAAAAUUAUAGGUAGUAUGAAGGUCUGAGAGAGGUGUUUAAGAUCCAGAGGCAAAGUCCCCCAGACUCUAGUUUAUUUACAUACAAGCAAAUCCAGAGUAGGUGAAGGCCCUCCCCAAAAAUCUCAGCCAAUUUCCUACAGGCUGUGGGCUACUCCAGACCAUCACAUAUGCUGUGGGCAAUGAAAAUAGGGAGAUUUGGGGAGUAUUAUCAAAACCCAGGAGAAUAAGAAACAUUGGCUAAAGACUUUGUUUCAUUUUUUAAAACAACAGCAUUGUAUUGAAGAAGCCCCAAAUCUGAAAGACCCCAUUUUUGGCUCAUUACUUUUACCGUACAGUCCAUUAAUAGCCAAGCAGAUUUUAAGACAAUGAUGAAUCUAAACCUGAUAACCUAAGUGAUGCGCCACUGUGAUAUACAGGGUUCUGGGCAGAAUGAUUUUGCACUUGAAAGGAUCAAGACACUUUCAGGACCUGCUUCCCAUCCUGGGCCCUGUGUGCUGGGUUGGUUAUUUAGAGUGUUUCACCUGCAUGCUGGCAUGCCCAGUAGACAAGUUAGACCAAGUUAUAGGAAAGUCUUAAAUGCAUCUGCAAUCUGAUGAAUAAUUUGCCAUUGCUGGAUAUAUUGAUGAACCAAAACUGAGAGCAACCACAUGGCAAGACAAAUAGCAAGAUAUUCACACUCGUGAUGGCUGUAGGAGUUGCUGGAACAGUGAAUCCACAGCCCACUAACAGUACAAUCAUUUGCAGCAUCUGUAAUGUGCUAGACAAACAGCCAAAAAUGCUAUCAGGAAAAUCUUUGCAACAUGGAGCGAGAAGGGGGAGAGGGAUCACAAAAUCCUCCAAAUAGAUCAGAUUCUCAUUCUGAACACUAUUACACCUGCUGGGACAAAUGCUCCUCUCACGUCUGCUUCUGCAACCUUAUUAUCCUCUCUUGGCCCAUUAUGUUUAAACAAACGAAAGAAAAAAUGGGAAGUAAAAUGAGCAUCUAAGCAACACUAUUUCUAUGAAUUUGCCACAGGUCUCAUAUUAAAUUAGUUUCUCUAGGAUGCUGCAGCUGCUACCUAGAAGAUCAAUCACUUGACUCUCAUUAGAUUUGACAGCUAUAAAUGCUUCUAGAUGCAGAGUCUGGCAGGCUUAGAUCAGUCUCCUUGCAAGUGAAACAUCACGCAUCAGUGUAGGCUUAGGAUAAUUGCCCUAGUCAGCAUCCACAGAGAGCUAAGAGAAAGAUAUUUCACAUUUUGGUAAGUAUGUGUAUUCAAAAAAGAAAAGAAAAGAAGAAAUAAAAAAUUAAAUCUUGGAAAAUAAA